AACAAAAAUAAAAAAAAAAACCAAAUAUUUUCCUCUUUUUUACCUUAGGGAUCUUCCCAUGUCAGUACGAAAUCUUAGAUUACAAAUUUAAAUGAUGAACCAGAUCAAAUCAAUCACUCAUUUACUGGAGAAUGAAUAAGACCUUCCAGCUUCUCAACACAUUUGUUUCGUGACACUCAACUGGGAUGAUGGAUGUCCUACCUCUCUUUCUCCGUAACCUCCCUGAACCACCAUCGGAGCUUUUUUAAUCCACCAAACAUCCCGUUUUCGCCGAAAUCCUUCAUUGGCCAACAAGUGGGCUACUCGAUUUCCCUCUCUCUUUAUAUGUUGGAACUUAAUUCUUUCAAAGUCCACAGAAAUUUAUUUUGCUUCCCAGAUGAAAUUACUAAUCACUGAUCUGUCAAUGCAUGUCACUUUAAGCUUUUUUAUCACCACCGAUGAGUCACCUGCUACUUCACACAUUGGAAACCCAACUCCUGAAUGAAUUUGAUUGCUUGGGUGCUUGCUAAGGCCUUUGCAGUUAGAACAUGAGAUCCUUGUAGAAGUCCGCAUUGAAGUUUACUUGAACAAAAGUCUUUAAAAGAGGUCGGCACCCCACUGACUUUGUUGGGUUAAGCUUUAACUGUUCCCUUGCCAAUGUUUCUAAUUCUCUAGCAUAACCCAAUACAAAGGGCUAUUAGGCAAUCUUGGCUAGCAUGAAGGCCAGUCUCUACCUCAAGGUGAAAUGGAGGCACCGUCUCAGUCGAUCUGUUGUCUAAUGUGGCGCCAAUGGAAUGCUCAGAAUUUUCCUUGCCUCCUGAAUAUCAAAUGAGGGUUUGUCUCUUGGGAUCCCAUACAUAUCCUAACCGGUGAUUAGUCUACUACUUUCAACUUGCUAGAUGAACCCUUUCUCAAGAAGGAUCCUUGUUGCCGAUAUACUCAGCCAAAUCACUGAAGAUUGACUUCCUAGCUCAACUCUUAAAAAACUCUGUUUGCAAAAUAUUUAGCUUUUAGCACUCGAACCACUAGCAAAGUGGGGUUACAAAGUAAACACCACCCUUGUUUAGCUAAUAGUUUGAUAUUAAAUUUAGACAAAUUAUGGAAGCCCAUGCCUCCAGCCUCUUUCAAGUCACACCAAUCCCCCCAUGAACACUAAUGUAUAUCCUAUUGUGACUGUGAUUUUUGCCACCAAUACCGACACAUAAUCAAUUGUAGCUCCUUACAAAGACAACUUGAUAGUAAGAAAUAGGACACUGUAUACGUGGAAAUAGCCUGUAAUAUCGACUUUAUGAAUACCUCCUUGCCACCUUGCGAAAGGGUUCGAUUGCGAACACCCAUUAAUUCA
Long non-coding RNA from Gossypium arboreum, 1324 nucleotides. RefSeq lists it as uncharacterized. The transcript has 5 exons. NCBI's taxonomy places the organism in Eukaryota, Viridiplantae, Streptophyta, Magnoliopsida, Malvales, Malvaceae. The record is from RefSeq and is a predicted model, not a curated record.